GCCUGAGCCGCGCGGGCGCAAGGGACGGCGCACGGCUGCCGGAGGUACAGCUUCGUCGGAGACUGAAGACACCGGCGCUCGGGGCCGAGGGUGGGCGCGGCGUAAGAAAGUGCUUCUAUCCAUGUUGUGAAUUACUUAUGGAGAAGAGUGGCUGCAGUCCUUCAACCGCAAGGAGCUGAGUUCUGCAACAACCUGAGUGAGCUUGAAAGGGGACCUGGAACUCCAGGAACUGUGAGUCAGGAUGAAAACUCGAGACAGUAGCCAAUUGUUGAGGAGUAGCUGCAGCCUUUGGCCAUCGUGCCACGCGAGGUCUGAGCUUCCCCAACACAAUAUGGACGUCACAAGGGGGUGCUUAUGUUGGCAGCCCAGGCAGACCCCACGGCAGCAGAAGCAGCACGAGCUGACGGAAAAGAGCACUGGGCGAAGAGUCAGGAGGCUUGGCUCGAGUUCAGUCUGCUGUGAAUGACAUGACUUUGGGCAAGCUGAGCAUUUUCUCCAUUGACAGAAACAGUGCUGCCCUCUCUUCUCAGAGUUCUUAUUGAGAUAAAAAAUAAUAAGUCUGAGUGGUUUGGGAAAGUAAAAAGCGAUGAUAAACAUUUGUACCGUUUCUUUAUUCGUUCAGCAAGCAUGUACAUGCCAGGCGUGGGUUAUCCCUGUUAGGACACCUGGAUGGCUCCUGAGCUGGACCUUGUGGGUUCUCAGGGCAGUGGAGAUGAAGCAGCAGCACAUCCAUGCAAUGCUGUGUGGGUGGGUCUUAGAACUUCAGCAGCUAUGAACUGCAAUAAAGAAUCAGAGGUGGUCAUGGACACCUCUGCCAGGGAGACUGGUGAAUUUUUCCCAGACCUGGUGGGUUUUGAUAUAGCUCUUGGAAAAUGAGAAAUUUACCCAGCUGAAAGGGAGUGAAAGGGUAUUUUAGGCAGAAGGACCGGCAUUUUCAAGGCACAGCCGUGUGAGUGUACAUAGAGAAUCAUCAAGUUAAAAUUAACCCACGGAUAUUCACUGAGUACCUACCUUCCUCUAGGACUGCUAAGAGCUGGG
This is a long non-coding RNA of Bos taurus (domestic cattle), 1038 nucleotides long. NCBI's taxonomy places the organism in Eukaryota, Metazoa, Chordata, Mammalia, Artiodactyla, Bovidae. The record is from Ensembl.